This 301-nucleotide ribosomal RNA is filed under the name uncultured bacterium. RNAcentral describes it as "partial 16S ribosomal RNA". It matches the Rfam family "Bacterial small subunit ribosomal RNA", at positions 509 to 809 of the family's 1533-position model. The record is from RNAcentral.
CAGCAGCCGCGGGAAUACGUAGGUGGCGAGCGUUGUCCGGAAUUAUUGGGCGUAAAGGGAGCGCAGGCGGACAUAUAAGUCCAUCUUAAAAGUGCGGGGCUCAACCCCGUGAGGGGAUGGAAACUGUAUGCCUUGAGUGCAGGAGAGGAAAGCGGAAUUCCCAGUGUAGCGGUGAAAUGCGUAGAUAUUGGGAGGAACACCAGUGGCGAAGGCGGCUUUCUGGACUGUAACUGACGCUGAGGCUCGAAAGCCAGGGGAGCGAACGGGAUUAGAUACCCCUGUAGUCCCUGUCUCUUAUACA